RNAcentral lists this ribosomal RNA (460 nucleotides) under uncultured bacterium. RNAcentral describes it as "partial 16S ribosomal RNA". It matches the Rfam family "Bacterial small subunit ribosomal RNA", at positions 338 to 795 of the family's 1533-position model. The record is from RNAcentral.
CCUACGGGGGGCAGCAGUGAGGAAUAUUGGUCAAUGGACGAGAGUCUGAACCAGCCAAGUAGCGUGAAGGAUGACUGCCCUAUGGGUUGUAAACUUCUUUUAUAUGGGAAUAAAAUGUUCCACGUGUGGGAUUUUGUAUGUACCAUAUGAAUAAGGAUCGGCUAACUCCGUGCCAGCAGCCGCGGUAAUACGGAGGAUCCGAGCGUUAUCCGGAUUUAUUGGGUUUAAAGGGAGCGUAGGUGGAUUGUUAAGUCAGUUGUGAAAGUUUGCGGCUCAACCGUAAAAUUGCAGUUGAAACUGGCAGUCUUGAGUACAGUAGAGGUGGGCGGAAUUCGUGGUGUAGCGGUGAAAUGCUUAGAUAUCACGAAGAACUCCGAUUGCGAAGGCAGUUCACUGGACUGCAACUGACACGGAGGCUCGAAAGUGUGGGUAUCAAACAGGAUUAGAUACCCGGGUAGUC